This is a non-coding RNA of Ictidomys tridecemlineatus (thirteen-lined ground squirrel), 4731 nucleotides long. The record is from RefSeq and is a predicted model, not a curated record. Lineage: Eukaryota; Metazoa; Chordata; Mammalia; Rodentia; Sciuridae.
GAAUAAUUUUAAACAGGAAUGAUCUAAUCUAACUUCUAUUUUUAAAGGGUUUUACUGAACGUAUGCUAUACUUCCCUUUUUAAAAAGGGAGAAAGACUUAAAGGAAUAAAGAUGUCUUGGGCUACUGUGUGGAAGAUUGAAGAGAGGCAAAAACAGAAGCAGGUUGAACAAGAAGGAAACUAUUGGUGUACUUUAUUAAAGGGAUAGUGGGUCCUAACAGAGUGAAAAUGGGGAGAAGAGGACAGAGACAAAAUAUAUUUAGGAGGCAGAAAACACAGGUGUUAAUAAUAUAUUAUAAAUAGAGAAUGGAGAAGAAAGAAAAAUGACUCUGAACUUCCUGGCUUGAGCAAUGGGGGGUAAAUAGGGUAUCACAUACAAAAAAUGAAAAGGUUUAGGAAGGAGUAAAUAAGAUGAAUUGAGAGUUUGAUUUCAAAUUCCUUCAGUUUGGAAUUUCCAUGGAAUUCCCACUUUGGAGAUAUCAGAUAGGCAGUUAGAUAUAUGAUAUUAGAACACAGAGAGAUGUGAAAUACAAAUCUAUUUCUCAUUGGCAUAUUUAGAUGGGAUUUAUACCCCUAAACAUGGCUGAGAUCUCUAAAGGAGAGAGUAGAGAGAAAUUAGAGAAGCAGGUCUAGGGACAAACCUCAGGAAACAUCAACACAUACCAGAGGAGUAUCCUGCAAAGGAAACUGAUGAAGAAUAGCCAGAGAGAAAGGUCAGGAGAAGGUUUUGUCUCUGGGGAACUAGAAGGUGGAAGUAUGGAAGAUCAUUGAGCUGAAAGCAAUUAAGAUGUAGUAAAUGCACGAAUUCUCUCUGCCUUCCUUCUGUCUUCCUACAAGCUGAACAUAGAUUUACAAAGAUAAAAGAUUUCCCCCACCUUCUGCCAGGGAAAACAAAGGUUAGCCACUGAGGACACCAUUGGAUUCAGCUUGGAGGUGGUCCCAGCGGAGUCUAUGUUAACAACCUUUACCAACCAGUCUUCGUCUGCCAUUUAUUUGCCUUGCCUCAAGCUGCUACCCAUAGGGACUCAAAGUCCUCUUUCUUUGUUUUGUCACUUCUCUAAAAGCUUACUGUUCUUUGUUGCAGAUGCUGUAAGCUGAAAUUCAAAGCUACCUCUUUGAGAACUACUACUUCCCUGGGUGUUUCUUAUGUACAUACGAAACAUACAUGUUCAUAAAUUUGUUUGAUUUCUCUUGUUAAUCUGUCUUGUGUAACAGAGCUCUCAAGUCCAACUAAGAACCUAUGGGUUAUUCUUCUCCUAUAUGACAAAGAAAUAGUGUUUCAGGAAGGAAAUGACAAAUGCUUCUAAGAGGUUGAGUAAGGUGAGGACUAAAAUGUGACCAUUGAUUUUGGAAAUAAUAUAGUGUAAGCUUGACAUGAUUGAUAAUUAGAGGACAUUGAGAAGUGAUAGGGAGUAAAACAUGGAAAUAGCAGAUGGAGAUAGUACCAAACUGCAACUGAACAUAAACGGAUUAUUUGGAAGAAGUUUUCACAUCUCCACCAAAGGAGCAGCAUCAGAUACAUAAACACUGCUGCAAUGUCAAAGAGUUCCAGGGUCGUGACUCCUGGGAUACUCUGCCCUGACAUGCCAUUACUCUUCUUUUCUGCCCUGACUCUGUGGUAUGUCUUCCAACUAGACUCUUGGGAAAGUCUUGUAUUGAAAACCCCCAUGGGUACAUAAUCAUUUCCCCUAGGCUCAGUGCAAUUUUCACCUCUUCUUUCAGAUCCCCCUACCUUUCUCAAGUAAAAUGAGUGAAUUUUCUUCUCUGGAGUCCCACUAUAUGAAUUCAUUGUUGUUCCAUGUAUUAGACUGACUUAUAAUUGCUUGAGUGUAUGUCCCAACUAGACUGUGACCACACUGAGGGAGGGGACUUGGUUUGGAAAGUGAGAUUGGCUCCCAAGUUUUAUCCAAACAAAUAAGACCAUUUUACAACAGGAUUCCCUUCUCUUAUGUGGUGCAGUAUCUAUCUAUAUUCCACUUUUUCCCAUCUUUUGUUUGUUCCAUCCCACCACCUCUCAAGAUUAUUACAAUAGGAUUAGGACUGACUAAUUGGUUUAAAAGUUUAUUUAUGUUUUAGGUAGAGUACAAAUCAAAAUACAUUUGUAGCAAAAGUUUUCUCUAAUCCGUGCACCAAAAGCUGCAUUUUCUGUUUUAAUCCAAUAUAUUUCUUGUCUUGUAUUUAAGUAAGUAAGAUGAGUAAGAUCAUCAUAAUCAUGUUGUUUAGGAAAUUCAUCACAAGGAAUAAAAAAUAUGUUACUAGAAAACUAAAUUCUUGGACACCCUGGUGAAAAAAAUCUUCCAUCCUGCUGAUUUCCAAACAUUGGCCCUCCCCUCAGGUUUCAAGAAAUAACCCACAAUUUCUUGGGGACCCAGCUGUCUGUACAGCUUUUCUUGUUCUCUCCCAGUAGAGUGGCUUCAAGGGCCUAUGUUGACCCUUACUGAUUUUUUUGACAUUUUGUCUUUCAGAACCAGAGGCAGGAGAGGUGUCCCCUCCAGUCGGUGCUGGAGUCAACAGCAACAGCUGGACCUUUAAAUACGGACCCGGCAACCCGAAACAAUCCGGUCCCGAACCUAAAAAGCAGACCCAAGUUUCCUUUCUCCUCCGCCGCAAAGGAGAAGCAUCCCAGUCCCGCCAGUGAGAGGUUGGACUCUCUGCCCUGUGCUCCGGGGAUCCUGUCUUGAUGACACUUGCAGGGCAGGCUGAAUGAUUUUGAGAUUGAGCAGCUUGAGUGUUUGUGGCCACUGCAGAUAUUUCAGUGCCAGAUAUUGGCUGAGGUGGGUCAGAUUAGACUAUUUGCACAAAAAGGGCUGGGAAAUAAAGGCAAGUAAACAGUGGGAGUUAUCAGUCUGGAGGGGAAAUGUGAGACUGAAGAAACCAGACUUUCUAAAUUUUAUAACUCAAGAGGUAGUAGCCAACCUCUAGCAGACAAAACUUUCCCCCACUGACAAGGCUUUAGGAGUUCCUAAAGUCUGUUUGCUAUGGUGUCCUUGUACCUAAAACCUGCAUUAUACAUACAAGCAAACAGUUCAGUGUUUAACAGAGGGUCAACCAGGGCAACAGAAGCAGAUCUGAUGUGUUUCCUGUAUAUGUCCUUGUGCUCACUUUAUUAAAAAUUCUUUUGCACACAAUGUUUAUGAAAAGGCCAGAUCCUUUUCCAAACACAUAUGCAAAAGCAAAAGAAAAAAAGAAAAACCCAACACCUCAUUUUAUGCUGUUUGUUAUUUGAUAGAUUUAUUUAAAAAAGAGAAAGUCUAUAACUAUAAAUCUUCAAAGAGAAAUAUGAUGAAUAUUUCCCCUAAACUCCCCUCAAAAGAGAAUUCAGUCUACAGCCAUUUAAAUGAUCAUUGCUGCUACAGAAGUGCUUUAAGAGAAUUGCCUGAAACAUCUGUAUUAUACCGGCCACCCGCCAAUCACAGCUUUACUCUUUCAGGUCACUCUGGGGCUGCCUCUUGCAUGUAUUAAUUACUAAAUAAAAGGAUCUUUCUUUCUCUUUUCUAAGAAAAAAUGAUGUGCACUUUGAAUACACAACCUUCUCUAACCAACUCUAUCAAGACCCAGAAAUUGAAGAAAAAUACUGUUUUCGCAUACAUACAGUGAGCAGACUUUUCAAUCCUCUAAUUCUGUGACUUGUCUUGGUGUGCUAGCCUACACCUUCUCUUUGGUUUAGUUAUCCUUUUCUAUAACACUCUGAAUUGCUAAUCUUACUAACACCUAUGAUGUUACCUGAAAUCAAUCUCCCAUAUGUAUGCUGUAUGCUAUUAUAAGACUCCUGAAAUAUACUUACUCUGUGCUUGUGUAUGUGAAUGUUAAUGCAACUAUUACCUAGAGUGAACUUUAAGCUUUAUUGUUGAAUGUAAUUCCAUUAUAUUUCCUUUUGUACACCUGUGAAAAAGUGGAGUAGUGUUUUUUUAACCAUUGUUAAUCCGCUUUUGUGUAUGAAAGACACAGUAAAAUUUCUUUCUUAAAUCAAGAUACUGGUGAUUCAAGGAAUUUUAUUUAUGGUCAGCCAAGAGCUAGCUCUUGCCAAGAUUCCUCUGGCAAGGGAAUGGAUAAAGCUGUUUUUUUCUAGUAACAAUUCUGGAAUGAAUACUGGAGAUAUUCCCUGAAGGUGUGCAAGCACAAAUUUUACCAAUCUGACCUCUUUGAAGUUGCAGAAUGCUUGAAAUUCUAAUGCUAUCUGGAAUAUCAGCUCAUAGAAAAUAAUAAAAUUUACUGUUACCUUAAAUAACACAUUUUAAUUUUGUUAUGUACGAUUUACAAGUUUGAUUAUAUUUAAAAGGUAAUAUAAAGGAAGUAAGAGUCUGUCAUAGAAAAAAAGGCAUUAAAUCUAAAAAACAAAAAAAAAAAACUGUCUUGUCUACUUUUAGCUUCAUUCUCCCAUAUUUUGAAGGGUGUGUAACUUCAGCUCUGCAGGAUUGCAUGGGGUAAAACUUGUUGCCAACACAUGUAAACCAUUGCUACAUUGUAGGUUGUGAUCAUUUUGCCCCACUGAAGCCCAUGUAACUGACCUUACGUGCCUUUUGAACUAGGAGAAUCGGGCUAAUUUAUUAAUGAUGAUAAUUAUAAUGUAUCUGUACAGCACUUUUUAAAUUUGUGAAGUGCUUUCCAAUCCAUGUUAGUUACUAGUCCAUUACAGCUGUAAGGAUAAAACACGUCAUGUGGAUUCAUUUUUAAUUGGUGCUAUUGGUAUUUCCUCUGUUAUUGCUAAUAAAUGGAAACUGGUGGUAUGAAA